UGCCUCCUACGGGACGCAGCAGUGAGGAAUAUUGGUCAAUGGGCGCAAGCCUGAACCAGCCACGUCGCGUGAGGGAAGACGGCCCUACGGGUUGUAAACCUCUUUUGCCGGGGAGCAAGCCUGAGCACGUGUGCCCAGGCGGAGAGUACCCGGAGAAAAAGCAUCGGCUAACUCCGUGCCAGCAGCCGCGGUAAUACGGAGGAUGCGAGCGUUAUCCGGAUUUAUUGGGUUUAAAGGGUGCGCAGGCGGGGUGUUAAGCCGGCGGUAAAAAUUCAGGGCUCAACCCUGUAGAGCCGUCGGAACUG
Molecule: ribosomal RNA, 305 nt
Filed under: uncultured bacterium
Lineage: Bacteria
Description: bacterial SSU rRNA
Rfam family: Bacterial small subunit ribosomal RNA
Source: RNAcentral